CCAAUGCGGCUGCUAUACAUGCAGUUGAGCGCUGAGGUUGGUACUUGUACCAACUGGAUGAGCAGCGAACGGGUGAGUAACGCGUGGGGAAUCUGCCUUUGAGCGGGGGACAACAUUUGGAAACGAAUGCUAAUACCGCAUAAAAACUUUAAACACAAGUUUUAAGUUUGAAAGAUGCAAUUGCAUCACUCAAAGAUGAUCCCGCGUUGUAUUAGCUAGUUGGUGAGGUAAAGGCUCACCAAGGCGAUGAUACAUAGCCGACCUGAGAGGGUGAUCGGCCACAUUGGGACUGAGACACGGCCCAAACUCCUACGGGAGGCAGCAGUAGGGAAUCUUCGGCAAUGGACGAAAGUCUGACCGAGCAACGCCGCGUGAGUGAAGAAGGUUUUCGGAUCGUAAAACUCUGUUGGUAGAGAAGAACGUUGGUGAGAGUGGAAAGCUCAUCAAGUGACGGUAACUACCCAGAAAGGGACGGCUAACUACGUGCCAAUUCAGCCGCGGUAAUACGUUAAGGUCCAAGAGCAUUGUCCGGAUUUAAUGGCGCGUAAAGCGAGCGCAGGUGGUUUAUAAAAUCUAGGUGUAAAAGCGCAGUGGCUACAACCAUUGUAUGCAAUGGAAACUGGUAGACUGGAGUGCCAGGAGGAGGAAAGCUGGAAUUCCAUGUNGUAGCGGUGAAAUGCGUAAGAUAUAUGGAGGAACACCAGUGGGCGAAGAGCGGCUCUCUGGCCUCGUAACUGACCACUGAGAGGCUCGAAAGCGCUGGGGGAGCAAACACGGAUAGAGUAUACCCUGGUAGUCUCACAGCCGUUAAAACGAUGAGAUGCUCAAGAUGUUAGAGGAGUCUACAGAGCUUCUCAGUGACUCGCAGCUUAACGCAAUAAGCACUCCGCCUGGGGAGUACGACCGCAAGGUUGAAACUCAAAGGAAUUGACGGGGGCCCGCACAAGCGGUGGAGCAUGUGGUUUAAUUCGAAGCAACGCGAAGAACCUUUACCAGGUCUUGACAUCACUCUGUGCUACUCUAGAGAUAUGAGCUUGUUCCUUCGGGGACACGAGAUGACAGGUGGUGCAUGCUUGUCGUCAGCUCGUGUCGUGAGAUGUUGGGUUAAGUCCCCGCAAACGAGCGCAACCCCUUAUGUUAGUUGCCAUCCAUUAAGUGGGCCACUCUAACGAGAACUGCCGGUGACUAACCGGAGGAAAGGUGGGGAAGACGUCAAAUCAUCUAUGCCCCUUAUGGACCUGGGCUACACACGUCAUUCAAUGGGAUAGUACAAAGAGUUAGCUAGACCAGCACGUCCUAUGCAAAUCUCAUAAAGCUCAUUCUCAGUUCGGGAUGUAGGCUGCAACUCGCCUACAUGAAGUCGGAAUCGCUAGUAAUCGCGGAUCAGCACGCCGCGGUGAAUACGUUCCCGGGCCUUGUACACACCGCCCGUCACACCACGAGAGUUGGUGAAGUACCCGAAGUCGGUGGCGGUAACCGUCAAGGAGCGCAGCCGCUUAAGAAUGAAACUACGAAA
This 1516-nucleotide ribosomal RNA is filed under the name Lactococcus lactis. RNAcentral's name for it is "bacterial SSU rRNA". It matches the Rfam family "Bacterial small subunit ribosomal RNA". Lineage: Bacteria; Bacillati; Bacillota; Bacilli; Lactobacillales; Streptococcaceae. The record is from RNAcentral.